GACAGAGGUGGCAAGCGUUGUUCGGAUUUAUUGGGUGUAAAGGGCAGGUAGGUGGCUGGGUAAGUCUGAUGUGAAAUCCAAAGGCUCAACCUUUGAACUGCAUUAGAAACUGCCCGGCUUGAGGACUGGAGGGGUGAGGGGAAUUCUCGGUGUAAGGGUGAAAUCUGUAGAUAUCGAGAGGAAUACCGGUGGCGAAGGCGCCUCACUGGCCAGUAUCUGACACUGAGCUGCGAAAGCUAGGGGAGCAAACAGG
RNAcentral lists this ribosomal RNA (253 nucleotides) under uncultured bacterium. RNAcentral's name for it is "partial 16S ribosomal RNA". It matches the Rfam family "Bacterial small subunit ribosomal RNA", at positions 524 to 776 of the family's 1533-position model. The record is from RNAcentral.